GACGAACGCUGGCGGCGUGCUUAACACAUGCAAGUCGAACGGUGAAGCGCCUUCCUUUUUGGUGGGUGUGGAUGAGUGGCGAACGGGUGAGUAACACGUGAGUAACCUGCCCCCUUCUUCUGGAUAACCGCAUGAAAGUGUGGCUAAUACGGGAUAUUCUGGGUCUGUCGCAUGAUGGGUCUGGGAAAGAUAUUGUUUCGGUGGGGGAUGGGCUCGCGGCCUAUCAGCUUGUUGGUGGGGUGAUGGCCUACCAAGGCGGUGACGGGUAGCCGGCCUGAGGGGGGGGGGGGCCCAAGGGGGGCGGAGGGCCGGCAGGGCCUCCGGGGGGGGGAAGGGGGGGGGAAUAGGGCACGGGGGGGGAGAGCGUGGGGCGGCGGGCCGGGGGGGGGGGGGGGGCUCUGGGGGUUGGGACCUUUUUGCGGGGGUGAAGGGGCCCGGCCGGUUGUGGGGGGGGUUUGAGGGUAGCUGAAAAAGAGGCCCCGGCUAACUACGUC
Molecule: ribosomal RNA, 494 nt
Filed under: uncultured bacterium
Lineage: Bacteria
Description: partial 16S ribosomal RNA
Rfam family: Bacterial small subunit ribosomal RNA (bases 20-338)
Source: RNAcentral